Molecule: ribosomal RNA, 587 nt
Filed under: uncultured bacterium
Lineage: Bacteria
Description: bacterial SSU rRNA
Rfam family: Bacterial small subunit ribosomal RNA
Source: RNAcentral
CCUACGGGAGGCAGCAGUAGGGAAUCUUCCGCAAUGGACGAAAGUCUGACGGAGCAACGCCGCGUGAACGAUGAAGGCCUUCGGGUCGUAAAGUUCUGUUGUUAGGGAAGAACAAGUGCUAGUUGAAUAAGCUGGCACCUUGACGGUACCUAACCAGAAAGCCACGACUAACUACGUGCCAGCAGCCGCGGUAAUACGUAGGUGGCAAGCGUUGUCCGGAAUUAUUGGGCGUAAAGCGCGCGCAGGCGGUUUCUUAAGUCUGAUGUGAAAGCCCCCGGCUCAACCGGGGAGGGUCAUUGGAAACUGGGAAACUUGAGUGCAGAAGAGGAAAGUGGAAUUCCAAGUGUAGCGGUGAAAUGCGUAGAGAUUUGGAGGAACACCAGUGGCGAAGGCGACUUUCUGGUCUGUAACUGACGCUGAGGCGCGAAAGCGUGGGGAGCAAACAGGAUUAGAUACCCUGGUAGUCCACGCUGUAAACGAUGAGUGCUAAGUGUUAGAGGGUUUCCGCCCUUUAGUGCUGAAGUUAACGCAUUAAGCACUCCGCCUGGGGAUACGGUCGCAAGACUGAAACUCAAAUGAAUUGACGG